CCUACGGGAGGCAGCAGUGGGGAAUAUUGCGCAAUGGGCGAAAGCCUGACGCAGCGACGCCGCGUGAGGGAUGAAGGUCUUCGGAUCGUAAACCUCUGUCAGCAGGGAAGAACGGUCACUUUGCUAAUCAGCAGUGCAUUGACGGUACCUGCAAAGGCCGCACCGGCUAACUCCGUGCCAGCAGCCGCGUUGAUACGGAUGGUGCGAGCGUUAAUCGGAAUUACUGGGCGUAAAGCCCUCGUAGGCGGUAUGUCAAGUCAAGGGUGAAAUCCCCGCGCUCAACGUGGGAACUGCCGUUGAAACUGGCAAACUGGAGUGUGGGAGAGGAUAGUGGAAUUCCAGGUGUAGGAGUGAAAUCCGUAGAUAUCGGGAGGAACAUCAGUGGCGAAGGCGACUAUCUGGCACAUAACUGACGCUGAGGAGCGAAAGCGUGGGUAGCAAACAGGAUUAGAUACCCUAGUAGUC
RNAcentral lists this ribosomal RNA (465 nucleotides) under uncultured bacterium. RNAcentral's name for it is "partial 16S ribosomal RNA". It matches the Rfam family "Bacterial small subunit ribosomal RNA", at positions 338 to 795 of the family's 1533-position model. The record is from RNAcentral.